This 513-nucleotide ribosomal RNA is filed under the name uncultured bacterium. Its description in RNAcentral is "partial 16S ribosomal RNA". It matches the Rfam family "Bacterial small subunit ribosomal RNA", at positions 30 to 523 of the family's 1533-position model. The record is from RNAcentral.
AUUGAACGCUGGCGGCAUGCCUAAUACAUGCAAGUCGAGCGAACAGAUGAAGUGCUUGCACUUCUGACGUUAGCGGCGAACGGGUGAGUAACACGUAAGGAAUCUACCUAUAAGCGGGGGAUAACAUUCGGAAACGGGUGCUAAUACCGCAUAAUAUCUUCUUCCGCAUGGAAGGAGAUUGAAAGACGGCUCUGCUGUCACUUAUAGAUGACCUUGCGGUGCAUUAGUUAGUUGGUGGGGUAACGGCCUACCAAGACGAUGAUGCAUAGCGGACCUGAGAGGGUGAUCGGCCACAUUGGGACUGAGACACGGCCCAAACUCCUACGGGAGGCAGCAGUAGGGAAUCUUCCGCAAUGGGCGAAAGCCUGACGGAGCAAUGCCGCGUGAGUGAAGAAGGCCUUCGGGUCGUAAAACUCUGUUAUAAGAGAAGAACAAAUUGUAGAGUAACUGCUACAGUCUUGACGGUAUCUUAUCAGAAAGCCACGGCUAACUACGUGCCAGCCGCCGCCGUAA